AGAUUGAACGCUGGCGGCAUGCCUAACACAUGCAAGUCGAACGGGAGUAGCAAUACUCUAGUGGCGGACGGGUGAGGAAUACGUAGGAAUUUGCCCUUAAGUGGGGAUAACCCGGGGAACCCGGAUUAAUACCGCAUGACCUCGAAAGAGCAAAGUGGGGGAUCGCAAGACCUCACGCUUUUGGAGAAGCCUACGUCGGAUUAGCUAGUUGGUGAGGUAAUGGCUCACCAAGGCGACGAUCCGUAACUGGUCUGAGAGGAUGAUCAGUCACACCGGAACUGAGACACGGUCCGGACUCCUACGGGAGGCAGCAGUGGGAAUAGUUGGACGAAUCGGGCGCCGAAGCCUGGAUUCCGAGCCAAUGCCGCGUGUGUCGGAAGAAGGCCUUCGGGUUGUAAAGUCAGUUUAACGUUAGGAAGAAAAAC
Molecule: ribosomal RNA, 425 nt
Filed under: uncultured soil bacterium
Lineage: Bacteria
Description: bacterial SSU rRNA
Rfam family: Bacterial small subunit ribosomal RNA
Source: RNAcentral